GCAACCUUCGAAGGAAGUGGUAGUGCGCGACGUGUUUAAGAAUAAUUAUAAAAAGAGUUUUUCCUAGGUCAGUGAAGACCUAAUAAAGUCUAGUGGAAGUGUUUUAAAACAAACACAUACGAAAAAAGGUCCGAUAGAGGGCCUUUUUUCUUUUGUUCCUUUGGAACAGGUUCCAACGCUUCCGCCAAAGACUUCGGAGGUCACUACGGUGGCCCAGCCAGUGCACUACCUCAAGCCAGCUUCCCUCAGUCGAGAGGUGCGAUCGGAAGAAGAAGCCGGGGAAAGGAGCCAACUGAAGAAGAAGCCGUGGUGGUCCCGGAAAGCCGUUCCCGGGUGCAACAAAGUGCCGUAUUUCGGAGGACAUUAACGGUGUGCGGCCAUUGGGGAUAAGUACCGCGGUGAGAAGCGCCAAGAAGAUUCCUGUAGCCACGUAUCACCAUAAUUUGCACGGCCGCCAUCUUCAAUCUUCAUUGUCUCCCAAGCCCCACCGUCCCGGUGCGAAGCGCCAUUAGAAGCAUUCCACCAUCGUCGGCCAUCGAUCAUCGCCGAUCCAUCGCCAUCCAACAUCGCUGGCAUUUCUACCAUCGUCGGCCAUCGAUCA
Molecule: long non-coding RNA, 601 nt
Organism: Armigeres subalbatus
Lineage: Eukaryota; Metazoa; Arthropoda; Insecta; Diptera; Culicidae
Exons: 3
Source: RefSeq, a predicted model, not a curated record